AAUGAACGCUGGCGGCGUGCUUAACACAUGCAAGUCGAACGAGAAAGCUUGAAGCUUGCUUUGGGCGAGUAAAGUGGCGCACGGGUGAGUAACGCGUGGGUAAUCUACCUCCGAAUUCGGGAUAACACUUCGAAAGGGGUGCUAAUACCGGAUAACAUCCUUUGUACCUUGGUACAGGGGAUCAAAGAUAGCCGCUCCAUGGAAGCUAUUGUUUGGAGAUGAGCCCGCGUCCCAUUAGCUUGUUGGUAGGGUAAUGGCCUACCAAGGCAUCGAUGGGUAGCUGGUCUGAGAGGAUGGCCAGCCACACUGGAACUGGAACACGGUCCAGACUCCUACGGGUGGCUG
Molecule: ribosomal RNA, 345 nt
Filed under: uncultured Pseudomonadota bacterium
Lineage: Bacteria; Pseudomonadati; Pseudomonadota
Description: bacterial SSU rRNA
Rfam family: Bacterial small subunit ribosomal RNA
Source: RNAcentral